GGAGUGGCGAUCUGACUCUGUGAGGUCCUGGGGGAGGCGGGGAGGCACCAAUGCCACGCCCUCGUGUUGGGCUCCAUUGCGGACUGGAUUACGGAGCCGCUUCUGAGAAGUCACUGAAGGGCUUCAAGAGAACUGGGCCAUUAGCUGACUGAACUUUCCUCUGACAGCGAUGAGACAAGCUUCUUGAGGGGGACGAGCACAGAGGCGCCUGGCGAGGAGCUGCUGAGAGGAGCGAGGACCCCUGAGCCGGGCAGCGGCGAGGAUGACCAGGGUCAGCGUCAGACCCAGGACCCUGCUCGGAUCUGCUGCUGGCUGGAGGAGGAGCGCACGACCAAAGAGAGUCUCUGCACUUCGUGACGUCUCUGGUCUUCAUUGAAGUGAGACGAUUCUUAGAUGUCCGUGGCACAAGGCACCUUGAGAGACAUUGGUGAACUUCAUCACAGCCGCAUGGAGUGAAGAGGUAUUUCAGACAGGCUCUCACAGUCCUCAUGAUCAGCACCAGUUGAGUGGUGUCAGAGGAAGCACCACGUGGUCUUCCUGGUGCUGGGCUUCACCAUCUGACCGCCGCUGGCCUGGAUUCCACGCUGACCCUCUGCCCUCCUCCCCUGCCCACCUGCUGCCAGGGCCUGGGCCUGGGAGAGAAGGAAGGGACAGCCCUUGGCAGUCGGGCCCCAGAGAGAGCCCGUCCAGCUGCUUGGCAGGAGCCUCGUGGUCAACCAGACCCUGGCCUGGGCAAAUCACCCCGGCCCUGGAGAACGUACCAGAUCUGCUCACUAAUGUGUCAGGAAGGUCCAGAGAGGGCAGCACAGCUGCAGCAGAGAGGAAACUGGGACCAUGAAGACCAGCUCCACGAUGCUGGCGAGACAUACCAAGGAUUGGAAGACAGAAUCCUGACAGCUGGGAUCCCACUCCCCAUUUUCUGAAAGAUCUGUAAGCUUCUGGCAAAGAUGACAUUUUAUUUCUAAACCUGCCCUCUGUGUAUCCAAAAAUGAAAAUUAACUAUAUUUCUUAAUAUCACCACUAUUCAAAACAUAUUAAAAUUUGCAAAUUG
Long non-coding RNA from Heterocephalus glaber (naked mole-rat), 1051 nucleotides. RefSeq lists it as uncharacterized. NCBI's taxonomy places the organism in Eukaryota, Metazoa, Chordata, Mammalia, Rodentia, Bathyergidae. The record is from RefSeq and is a predicted model, not a curated record.